UACGUAGGGGGCAAGCGUUGUCCGGCUUUACUGGGCGUAAAGAGCGCGCAGGCGGUCGUUCAAGUCGCGUGUGAAAGCCCCCGGCUCAACUGGGGAGGGUCACGCGAUACUGAUCGACUCGAAGGCAGGAGAGGGUAGUGGAAUUCCCGGUGUAGUGGUGAAAUGCGUAGAUAUCAGGAAGAACACCGAUGGCGAAAGCAGCUCUCUGGGACGGUACUGACGCUGAGGCGCGAAAGCCAGGGGAGCAAACGGG
Molecule: ribosomal RNA, 253 nt
Filed under: uncultured bacterium
Lineage: Bacteria
Description: partial 16S ribosomal RNA
Rfam family: Bacterial small subunit ribosomal RNA
Source: RNAcentral